This 498-nucleotide ribosomal RNA is filed under the name uncultured bacterium. RNAcentral's name for it is "partial 16S ribosomal RNA". It matches the Rfam family "Bacterial small subunit ribosomal RNA", at positions 28 to 507 of the family's 1533-position model. The record is from RNAcentral.
GACGAACGCUGGCGGCGUGCCUAAUACAUGCAAGUCGAGCGGACGGAUGGGAGCUUGCUCCCAGACCGUCAGCGGCGGACGGGUGAGUAACACGUGGGCAACCUGCCUGUAAGACUGGGAUAACUCCGGGAAACCGGGGCUAAUACCGGAUAACUCUUUCCCUCACAUGAGGGAAAGCUGAAAGAUGGCAUCUCGCUAUCACUUACAGAUGGGCCCGCGGCGCAUUAGCUAGUUGGUGAGGUAACGGCUCACCAAGGCGACGAUGCGUAGCCGACCUGAGAGGGUGAUCGGCCACACUGGGACUGAGACACGGCCCAGACUCCUACGGGAGGCAGCAGUAGGGAAUCUUCCGCAAUGGACGAAAGUCUGACGGAGCAACGCCGCGUGAGUGAUGAAGGUUUUCGGAUCGUAAAACUCUGUUGUCAGGGAAGAACAAGUACCGGAGUAACUGCCGGUACCUUGACAGUACCUGACCAGAAAGCCACGGCUAACUACGUG